This 107-nucleotide small nucleolar RNA is filed under the name Sorghum bicolor (sorghum). RNAcentral describes it as "Plant small nucleolar RNA R71". It matches the Rfam family "Plant small nucleolar RNA R71". Rfam says of the family: R71 is a member of the C/D box family of snoRNAs containing the C (UGAUGA) and D (CUGA) box motifs. Lineage: Eukaryota; Viridiplantae; Streptophyta; Magnoliopsida; Poales; Poaceae. The record is from Rfam by way of RNAcentral.
AUUCCAUGAUGGGGACAUUCUAGGAUGUAGUCUUGGAAGCGCUCCCAUGCUUCUGGAACAGAUUCAUCAUGUUGUUGCAGAAAACUCGUAAUUUCCCCACGGAGAGC